This 26-nucleotide non-coding RNA is filed under the name Bombyx mori (domestic silkworm). Lineage: Eukaryota; Metazoa; Arthropoda; Insecta; Lepidoptera; Bombycidae. The record is from RNAcentral.
UACAGGAUUAAUUUGAGGAACUUGAA